GUGAGCCACGGUGUCUGAAAAGCGCCACAUAAAACAAGGGAGGGAAACGCUGCAUGGAACACUGAGUUGUGUUCUGAUUUUUCCACCUUGGAAACUGGAAACCUCGCAUUCAAAUGAAGCAAGUUGGAAGCUCCCCCGAGAUGCUGAUGAUGGCGAUACCCUGGAUCUGUUUGUGUUUUGUGGAUUGCACGGUUCUUCUUGGUUCAGCUUUUCCUUCUGGACUGAAGUAAAAGCUCCUAAUUGGAAUAUCCUGGCCUCACAGAAAAUGCUAGAAGUAUGAGAGAGCCCAAACAAACUCUCAUGUGCCGCACGUGACCCUUCUGUGGCUGUCCAUUGGUUCAAACCUGUCACCUGGCUGAGCCCGAAGAUGAGGUGAUGAUGAACUUCUCUCUCCGAUGAUGUGUGGCCAAGUCAUGGGACGAUGAGUAAGAAGGGGCCAUAUGUUUACUAAGGAGUACAGCACUGGGAACGGAACAUACUCUUCCACACUAUGGAAAGUGUUUAUCAGCUGUCAGAUUUUGUAAAGGCAAAGGCCAAGACAAGUAUUUCUGAGCAUGUGAUUUAUUGAGGGCCAUCUCUCAAGAGAAAACUAUAUGGAAUGAGAAGGAAAGGAGAAGACAAGACAAAGAGCCACGUUAAAAAACAUGUGAUUUCACUUGAAAUCUAACCUGGAUCCCCUGAGGCACUGGAGCAUAAACAGCAUUGCAAUGUC
Long non-coding RNA from Peromyscus eremicus (cactus mouse), 712 nucleotides. RefSeq lists it as uncharacterized. Lineage: Eukaryota; Metazoa; Chordata; Mammalia; Rodentia; Cricetidae. The record is from RefSeq and is a predicted model, not a curated record. The transcript has 2 exons.